AAGAAGUUAGUUUAAAACCAAACAAAUGAUUUCGACUCAUUAGAUUUCAAUAAUACUGAAACUUCUUU
This 68-nucleotide transfer RNA is filed under the name Ophioplinthus brevirima. RNAcentral's name for it is "tRNA-Arg". The record is from RNAcentral. Lineage: Eukaryota; Metazoa; Echinodermata; Ophiuroidea; Amphilepidida; Ophiuridae.